This 477-nucleotide long non-coding RNA is filed under the name Olea europaea subsp. europaea. Lineage: Eukaryota; Viridiplantae; Streptophyta; Magnoliopsida; Lamiales; Oleaceae. The record is from RNAcentral.
GCCAUAUAUGAGUUUCGAGCUUAAUUUGGCAAUGUAGAGAUCUCGUUUAGCAAAUUUGACAAUUGAAUCAUGAGUUGAUUAACUAGGGCAACUUUUUCUCAAAAAGUGAUGGGGUAUUGUCAGCUGGCCAAAGGCGGUUGCUUUUGGCGGCGACAAAACUCCAUCUUAACAUUUGAUGAUUUUUCACAAGAUUGUACGAAUUUGAUGCUGAUCACGCUGGUGCGGCACGUAACUGAAAUGGAGGUUUGGAUCAAUCGAAAUUUGGAGAUUUUCAACUGACUGAUUGUAAAUUGAAACCACCAGUAUCGGCGCAUCCAACUCUGGAACGGUCUGACUUUUGAUCGAAAGGUCAUCUCAUCAUGGGCAAUCUCUCUGCCCGACGCGUGUUACAAGUUUAAAGUCUGUACAGGAUUUAAUAAUUGGUGGAGGUCCAGACCUUGAUUCAAAGAAAAAGGUAAGAGUUUUUUGAAUCAUUUG